GACGAACGCUGGCGGCGUGCCUAAUACAUGCAAGUUGAGCGCUGAAGGUUGGUACUUGUACCAACUGGAUGAGCAGCGAACGGGUGAGUAACGCGUGGGGAAUCUGCCUUUGAGCGGGGGACAACAUUUGGAAACGAAUGCUAAUACCGCAUAAAAACUUUAAACACAAGUUUUAAGUUUGAAAGAUGCAAUUGCAUCACUCAAAGAUGAUCCCGCGUUGUAUUAGCUAGUUGGUGAGGUAAAGGCUCACCAAGGCGAUGAUACAUAGCCGACCUGAGAGGGUGAGCGGCCACAUUGGGACUGAGACACGCCCCAAACUCCUACGGGAGGCAGCAGUAGGGAAUCUUCGGCAAUGGACGAAAGUCUGACCGAGCAACGCCGCGUGAGUGAAGAAGGUUUUCGGAUCGUAAAACUCUGUUGGUAGAGAAGAACGUUGGUGAGAGUGGAAAGCUCAUCAAGUGACGGUAACUACCCAGAAAGGGACGGCUAACUACGUG
This 497-nucleotide ribosomal RNA is filed under the name uncultured bacterium. RNAcentral describes it as "partial 16S ribosomal RNA". It matches the Rfam family "Bacterial small subunit ribosomal RNA", at positions 28 to 507 of the family's 1533-position model. The record is from RNAcentral.